This 331-nucleotide ribosomal RNA is filed under the name uncultured Ornithinimicrobium sp. Its description in RNAcentral is "bacterial SSU rRNA". It matches the Rfam family "Bacterial small subunit ribosomal RNA", at positions 1051 to 1382 of the family's 1533-position model. The record is from RNAcentral. Lineage: Bacteria; Bacillati; Actinomycetota; Actinomycetes; Micrococcales; Ornithinimicrobiaceae.
GUCGUCAGCUCGUGUCGUGAGAUGUUGGUAAGUCCCGCAACGAGCGCAACCCUCGUUCUAUGUUGCCAGCACGUGAUGGUGGGGACUCAUAGGAGACUGCCGGGGUCAACUCGGAGGAAGGUGGGGAUGACGUCAAAUCAUCAUGCCCCUUACGUCUUGGGCUUCACGCAUGCUACAAUGGCCGGUACAGAGGGCUGCGAAACCGUGAGGUGGAGCGAAUCCCUUAAAGCUGGUCUCAGUUCGGAUUGGGGUCUGCAACUCGACCCCAUGAAGUCGGAGUCGCUAGUAAUCGCAGAUCAGCAACGCUGCGGUGAAUACGUUCCCGGGCCUU